This 465-nucleotide ribosomal RNA is filed under the name Vreelandella stevensii. RNAcentral's name for it is "partial 16S ribosomal RNA". It matches the Rfam family "Bacterial small subunit ribosomal RNA", at positions 338 to 795 of the family's 1533-position model. Lineage: Bacteria; Pseudomonadati; Pseudomonadota; Gammaproteobacteria; Oceanospirillales; Halomonadaceae. The record is from RNAcentral.
CCUACGGGUGGCAGCAGUGGGGAAUAUUGGACAAUGGGGGGAACCCUGAUCCAGCCAUGCCGCGUGUGUGAAGAAGGCCCUCGGGUUGUAAAGCACUUUCAGUGAGGAAGAACGCCUGGUGGUUAAUACCCAUCAGGAAAGACAUCACUCACAGAAGAAGCACCGGCUAACUCCGUGCCAGCAGCCGCGGUAAUACGGAGGGUGCGAGCGUUAAUCGGAAUUACUGGGCGUAACGCGCGCGUAGGUGGCUUGAUAAGCCGGUUGUGAAAGCCCCGGGCUCAACCUGGGAACGGCAUCCGGAACUGUCAAGCUAGAGUGCAGGAGAGGAAGGUAGAAUUCCCGGUGUAGCGGUGAAAUGCGUAGAGAUCGGGAGGAAUACCAGUGGCGAAGGCGGCCUUCUGGACUGACACUGACACUGAGGUGCGAAAGCGUGGGUAGCAAACAGGAUUAGAUACCCUAGUAGUC